CGGCGGUUAUCCCGGCCGGUGGAUGGCUCGGCUCGGGCGCCGACGAAGGGCGUGCCAAGCUGCGAUAAGC
Molecule: ribosomal RNA, 70 nt
Filed under: Ferroglobus placidus
Lineage: Archaea; Methanobacteriati; Methanobacteriota; Archaeoglobi; Archaeoglobales; Archaeoglobaceae
Description: partial 23S ribosomal RNA
Rfam family: Archaeal large subunit ribosomal RNA
Source: RNAcentral